UUUUACAAUGGAGAGUUUGAUCCUGGCUCAGGAUGAACGCUAGCUACAGGCUUAACACAUGCAAGUCGAGGGGAAACGACAUCGAAAGCUUGCUUUUGAUGGGCGUCGACCGGCGCACGGGUGAGUAACGCGUAUCCAACCUGCCCACCACUUGGGGAUAACCUUGCGAAAGUAAGACUAAUACCCAAUGACGUCUCUAGAAGACAUCUGAAAGAGAU
Molecule: ribosomal RNA, 218 nt
Filed under: Bacillus cereus
Lineage: Bacteria; Bacillati; Bacillota; Bacilli; Caryophanales; Bacillaceae
Description: partial 16S ribosomal RNA
Rfam family: Bacterial small subunit ribosomal RNA
Source: RNAcentral